This 503-nucleotide ribosomal RNA is filed under the name uncultured bacterium. Its description in RNAcentral is "partial 16S ribosomal RNA". It matches the Rfam family "Bacterial small subunit ribosomal RNA", at positions 30 to 523 of the family's 1533-position model. The record is from RNAcentral.
AUUGAACGCUGGCGGCAGGCUUAACACAUGCAAGUCGAGCGGGGUGAUGGUGCUUGCACUAUCACUUAGCGGCGGACGGGUGAGUAAUGCUUAGGAAUCUGCCUAUCAGUGGGGGACAACAUCUCGAAAGGGAUGCUAAUACCGCAUACGUCCUACGGGAGAAAGCAGGGGAUCACUUGUGACCUUGCGCUAAGAGAUGAGCCUAAGUCGGAUUAGCUAGUUGGUGGGGUAAAGGCCUACCAAGGCGACGAUCUGUAGCGGGUCUGAGAGGAUGAUCCGCCACACUGGGACUGAGACACGGCCCAGACUCCUACGGGAGGCAGCAGUGGGGAAUAUUGGACAAUGGGGGGAACCCUGAUCCAGCCACGCCGCGUGUGUGAAGAAGGCCUUAUGGUUGUAAAGCACUUUAAGCGAGGAGGAGGCUCUUUUGGUUAAUACCCAAGAUGAGUGGACGUUACUCGCAGAAUAAGCACCGGCUAACUCUGUGCCAGCCGCCGCGGUAA